GACGAACGCUGGCGGCGUGCCUAAUACAUGCAAGUAGAACGCUGAAGGAGGAGCUUGCUUCUCCGGAUGAGUUGCGAACGGGUGAGUAACGCGUAGGUAACCUGCCUGGUAGCGGGGGAUAACUAUUGGAAACGAUAUCUAAUACCGCAUAACAGUAGAUGUUGCAUGACAUUUGCUUAAAAGGUGCAAUUGCAUCACUACCAGAUGGACCUGCGUUGUAUUAGCUAGUUGGUGAGGUAACGGCUCACCAAGGCGACGAUACAUAGCCGACCUGAGAGGGUGAUCGGCCACACUGGGACUGAGACACGGCCCAGACUCCUACGGGAGGCAGCAGUAGGGAAUCUUCGGCAAUGGACGGAAGUCUGACCGAGCAACGCCGCGUGAGUGAAGAAGGUUUUCGGAUCGUAAAGCUCUGUUGUAAGAGAAGAACGAGUGUGAGAGUGGAAAGUUCACACUGUGACGGUAUCUUACCAGAAAGGGACGGCUAACUACGUG
RNAcentral lists this ribosomal RNA (495 nucleotides) under uncultured bacterium. Its description in RNAcentral is "partial 16S ribosomal RNA". It matches the Rfam family "Bacterial small subunit ribosomal RNA", at positions 28 to 507 of the family's 1533-position model. The record is from RNAcentral.